AGUGAACGCUGGCGGUAGGCCUAACACAUGCAAGUCGAACGGCAGCACAGUAAGAGCUUGCUCUUACGGGUGGCGAGUGGCGGACGGGUGAGGAAUACAUCGGAAUCUACUUUUUCGUGGGGGAUAACGUAGUGAAACUUACGCUAAUACCGCAUACGACCUACGGGUGAAAGCAGGGGAUCUUCGGACCUUGCGCGAUUGAAUGAGCCGAUGUCGGAUUAGCUAGUUGGCGGGGUAAAGGCCCACCAAGGCGACGAUCCGUAGCUGGUCUGAGAGGAUGAUCAGCCACACUGGAACUGAGACACGGUCCAGACCCCUACGGGAGGCAGCAGUGGGGAAUAUUGGACAAUGGGCGCAAGCCUGAUCCAGCCAUACCGCGUGGGUGAAGAAGGCCUUCGGGUUGUAAAGCCCUUUUGUUGGGAAAGAAAAGCAGCAGGUUAAUACCCCGCUGUUCUGACGGUACCCAAAGAAUAAGCACCGGCUAACUUCGUG
Molecule: ribosomal RNA, 492 nt
Filed under: uncultured bacterium
Lineage: Bacteria
Description: partial 16S ribosomal RNA
Rfam family: Bacterial small subunit ribosomal RNA
Source: RNAcentral